Alligator mississippiensis (American alligator) is the source of this 539-nucleotide long non-coding RNA. RefSeq lists it as uncharacterized. Lineage: Eukaryota; Metazoa; Chordata; Crocodylia; Alligatoridae. The record is from RefSeq and is a predicted model, not a curated record. The transcript is spliced from 3 exons.
UCCUUUCCUUCCACAGCAUGGAGCUGAGGGGGCAUGGCCAGUCCCUGGCAGGAUGCUCUGAUUAGCCCAGCAGGGAAUUGAUAACAGUAUUUAUCACCCAAUUAAGGAAACAACAGAAGGACAUUACCAGCUACCUAUUUAUUCUACCUGUUGUUUCAUCAGGGACUCUAGCCAGCAGGUGGUCUGCUAGCUAAUACACAGGCACCUUCUCAGCAAGGAAGAGGAGAAGGGGGGAUUCCAGCUUAGCAGGGAGUGAUGAGCAGGACUGGAUGAACUUCAUUCAAGAGUGCUGAAAGAGCUGGCCGAAGUCAUCGCAGAACCCCUGGUGAUACUUCCAAAACUCAUGGUGCUCCAGAGAGGUCCCUGAGGACUGAAAGAGAACCAACGUUGUGCCCAUCUUCAAGAAGGGAAGGAGAGAGGACCUUGGUCAUUACUGGAACAACAGGAGCUAUGAAACUAGUGAGGGGCUGGGAAAGAAGAAUUGAAUUCACAGAUCCUGGAUGGUUUCCAUGAGGGCUUCACUGUUGAAGGCUGUUGCC